CCCAAAAUAAACCCAAAAAUCGACAGCUGUAUAUUUUUUAAUUUAAUUAUUAAGAUGAAAUACCUUUAUUACCUUUUUAACAUAAAAUUGGAAUUCUAAUCAACACCAGAUUAGAACUCAUUACACGACCUCCAGUCUCUCAUCUUUAUCUUCAACCCCAAUUUUCAGUUUUUGUUCUUCCACUUCAAUCUCAUCAUUGUUCUUCCACCUCAGUUUUUGUUCAAUCUCUUCAUUCUAAGCUUCGUUGGAGGGCUUGCCUGGGCCACCAACAAUGAUGCACUGGAGAAGGCCUUUCUCCAUUCGAUCAUCAACGACCGUGAGACUGGGAGGUCCAGGGGCUUCGGCUUCGUCACCUUCAGCAAUGAGAACGCCAUGAGAGAUGCCCGAAGGCAUGAACGACCAGAACUUCGACGGUCGUAACAUACCGUAAAUGAGGCCCAGUCUUGUGGAAGCUAAAAUGAAAUGUUGUAAUAUGUAUGUGUCUACAUGUAUUGUAUUUUCAGCUGUGGAUAAGGAAUUUUUGGGAUUUUAGAUUUGCUGGCCAAGUUUCCUCUAAAUUCUAUAAAGAUGAAGCAGCCAUUCUGUAUGCAACCUUGGGAUUCUUCUCCAAAGAUUGUCAAGAAACUGUUCAAGGAAAUGAGCCUUAUGGUGAAGUACGGUUUACAUCCUAGUACUUUGAAGGGUGAAUUGUUUAGAGUACUGCUAGAGCAAGGAAUUCAUGGGUUGAAAGUUUCUGAGUUGGCGAAGUCUCAUUGCAGGUCAUUUGGGUACAUAUAUGUCACAGCAGUUUUCUAAAGGCUCAUAUGUUUGGAGAUAAGGUCAUUGUUACCACAAGCACAAUGAUAAUGAGCAGUAUGUGUGGGAGCCGCUCCGAUUCAAUGUUUAUGGUAUGUGGAGUGAUGAAAGAUCAAUUAAUUAUGCAAAUGAAAUGAUGUAAUUGAUUUUGAGUGGUAUGGAGUUGUACACUUUUAUUGUAUCGAUUAUGUAAAUAAAAUGAUGUAGUUGUUAACUUCCAGUAAGUGGUAUGAACAGUAUAACAACUGUUCAUACCUUGCAACUAAGUUGAUUUCUAUGACAUAGUAU
Molecule: long non-coding RNA, 1083 nt
Organism: Prunus persica (peach)
Lineage: Eukaryota; Viridiplantae; Streptophyta; Magnoliopsida; Rosales; Rosaceae
Exons: 3
Source: RefSeq, a predicted model, not a curated record